CUUUCACGGGGUUAUGCUGGACAAACGGAAGCGUCACAACUAUUUCUGAUGUUCACCUUCAAAACCUCCCAGUGCUCGAUUCCAAAUCAAUUCUCAGUAUUCCAUACUCAUGGACAUUACUGUUUGUCCAAAUCUAACAUGGAUCUUUCUACAACGGUUUAUGAGGGUGUGAUAUAUUUCUAUAUAGUGGAGGACAAGACAUUGCAAGCGAACAUGUGUCAAGUAUUUAAGAUUAGGCACACAUAUAUUCUU
Long non-coding RNA from Triticum aestivum (bread wheat), 252 nucleotides. RefSeq lists it as uncharacterized. Lineage: Eukaryota; Viridiplantae; Streptophyta; Magnoliopsida; Poales; Poaceae. The record is from RefSeq and is a predicted model, not a curated record. The transcript is spliced from 3 exons.